ACCAGCCACACUGGGACUGAGACACGGCCCAGACUCCUACGGGAGGCAGCAGUGGGGAAUUUUGGACAAUGGGGGAAACCCUGAUAGCCAUGCCGCGUGAGUGAAGAAGGCCUCGGGUUGUAAAGCUCUUUCAGCCGGAACGAAACGGUCACGGCUAAUACCUGUGACUACUGACGGUACCGGAAGAAGAAGCACCGGCUAACUACGUGCCAGCAGCCGCGGUAAUACGUAGGGUGCAAGCGUUAAUCGGAAUUACUGGGCGUAAAGCGUGCGCAGGCGGUUUUGUAAGUCAGAUGUGAAAUCCCCGGGCUUAACCUGGGAACUGCGUUUGAAACUACAAAGCUA
Molecule: ribosomal RNA, 345 nt
Filed under: uncultured ammonia-oxidizing bacterium
Lineage: Bacteria
Description: bacterial SSU rRNA
Rfam family: Bacterial small subunit ribosomal RNA
Source: RNAcentral